UGAGUUGUGGCUCAGACACUACAACAGAGCUCCGUCAUCUCUUUCUAAAAGCUGGGAAAUGGUUAUUGUCAACGCCAGCCCCAUUUUGGAGGCACCUGGCUGCAGGGGACCACAGCUAGACCUGAGUCAUCCCUGGAGUCUCACACUUGAUCUUAGCCAAAAGGCCGAGAAGCAAUCAUCCCUGGAGUCUCUCUGAAUCUGCCAUGAUCCUGGGAGCUACCCGAUUCGUGCAUUGUUCAUUGCUCAGUUAAACUCCUUUAAAUUUAA
RNAcentral lists this non-coding RNA (267 nucleotides) under Pongo abelii (Sumatran orangutan). Lineage: Eukaryota; Metazoa; Chordata; Mammalia; Primates; Hominidae. The record is from RNAcentral.